Molecule: transfer-messenger RNA, 355 nt
Filed under: Desulfuribacillus alkaliarsenatis
Lineage: Bacteria; Bacillati; Bacillota; Desulfuribacillia; Desulfuribacillales; Desulfuribacillaceae
Description: Standard tmRNA
Rfam family: transfer-messenger RNA
About the family: Bacterial tmRNA, also known as 10Sa RNA or SsrA, is named for its dual tRNA and mRNA-like properties. Its role is to liberate the mRNA from a stalled ribosome.
Source: Rfam by way of RNAcentral
GGGGGCGUUUUGGAUUCGACGGGGAUAGUUCGAGCAUGGGCUGCGAGUAGGGGACCAUGUCCUCUUCAACAACAUGGAAGCCAAAUUCAAUUGGCAAACAAGAUUACGCUUUAGCUGCUUAGUAUAAAGUAGCUGCCUCACCACUCCAUUGUCUGUGUGGCGUGAAUGAGGCUCAUAAUCAGCAGACUAGUCACUGGGUAUGCCGAUGGCCCUUUGGCGAAACUUAAUCGGAUAGUCUAAAAGCCUCCUGUCGUUGGGAUCUCUUUUAGGCGAACCAACAAUACGACGACUACACUCGUAGACGCUUAUGUGGCGAUAUCUUCGGACACGGGUUCGAUUCCCGUCGCCUCCACCA